This is a small nuclear RNA of Hyla sarda, 189 nucleotides long. RefSeq annotates it as U2 spliceosomal RNA. The record is from RefSeq and is a predicted model, not a curated record. Lineage: Eukaryota; Metazoa; Chordata; Amphibia; Anura; Hylidae. The transcript has a single exon.
UUCGCUUCUGGGCCCUUUUUGGCUAAGAUCAAGUGUAGUAUCUGUUUUUAUCAGUCUUAUCAGUGGAUCAGGCACCACUGAUGUGUGACUGGUGAGGAUGGGUGCUGCAUGGAGGGGGUUGGUUUCGGUAGAAUCAGCUCAAUGGCGGCCCUGAUUUUACCUGUUCCCUCCAGGUCUUGCCAUGAGGCU